RNAcentral lists this long non-coding RNA (1133 nucleotides) under Hordeum vulgare. RNAcentral describes it as "long non-coding RNA (HVUL_LNC013212)". Lineage: Eukaryota; Viridiplantae; Streptophyta; Magnoliopsida; Poales; Poaceae. The record is from RNAcentral.
UGGAAUAGUCAAGUGUAGAUUGCUUUGAAAGUGCUUUAGUUUUUCCCAACUCAAAUUCUAGUUUAAAAUAUGUGAUUAACAUAUGGGAUCAAAUCGUAGAGUGCUACUAGUAAUCCUAAGUACAACUCGAAUGCUACUAGUAAUCUGAAGUACGCGACCGGUGUACAUCGACCGGUGAAGGGUGGAGCGCUACUAGUAAUCCUAAGUACUCGAACGCGUCCUCUUCCUUUUGGGCAGUACUCCAUUCGUGCAUGUCCUCUCGCCCCGCUCCACCAAGCUUUACGCGCGCGCCUCCCUCCCGCCACAACCGCAGAGGAAGAAGCGAAGCGGUUGCCAUCGUCGUGGCCACGUCGGCCGCGAGCGAGAGCGCGGCGUCUCGCCUACCGUCGCGUUGGCCGUUUCGACAGGGCGCCCCGCGCGGGGCGCGACCUGCCGGCCCGUGCGUCGGAGCGCACAUGGCCUGUGGGCGCGGACGUCGACGCGGCGGUCCUGUCGGGUCGGGGCCCGGUCGCUCCACACGUUCGCUCGCUCGUUCGUUAGCUCGUGGCCCGGCGUUCCGAGCGGCGCGCACGUAUGGGGUGGGGAAGUAGCUUCAGAUACGGACAGAUGCAGCGGCAGGAGCAAGGACGCGAUGCGUGGACUGUAGCGGCGGCCACGGUGCGUGCUGUGCUAUUUUCAGUACUUUUCUUCUGGAAAACCUGCAGUAUCGAAUCAGUUCUAUGACGGGGCGAAGCGGUGCCUGUUUGCCCAACUGCGGUGGUGGAUCGCGGUGAGAUUGCAUCGCGAAAACCGUCGGGGCCGUGGGAUUGCAAGGAAAACCAUAUCUACACCGGACCGUGCAAAUCCGGUCCUCUAUACGUCCACGAACGCAGCCGAGGUAUCUGAACAGCCCCUCAUAAAUCCUAUUACAUAUCCAUAUAUCUCAUAUUCAAAGUUUUAAAUUUAUGUAAAAUCAUGCGAUACCUCAUAUUCAAAGUUUUAAAUUUAUGUAAAAUCAUGCACGUCGAUCACACAAAUUAAUGUUACACAUAAAUAACAACUGAUGGUAUCAAACAUAAUUAUAUUUACAUUAAUUUUAUUUGAAAAGCACAAUCAAUGUGUUUGAGAUCAAAAGUGAUUGAAUUCAUUCAUCG